UGAUCUCGACCAUUGGAUAUAUUGAUGAGGAAAUGAUCGGUUUAUGUCGAUCGUUCGAUUGAAGAUUUUAAGGGUUUGGAUUAAAAAUGAUGUGUGGUGUCUUUUUGCUAAGACUCGUAGUAGUUAGGGAAGAAUGGGGAGUUAUAGAAAGGGGGGAAGACGGAGGGACGCGAGGAGAAGAAGGGAAGAAGGGAAGACGGGAAGACACAUGAGUUAUAUAGAGAGAAAAAGAGAAUAUGGUGGCUGUGGAGAAGAAUGAGGAGUCAUAGAGAGGAGGAAGACGAAGUGACACGAAGAAUGAGAAGUUAUAGAGAGGAGGAAGACGAAGUGACACAGGGAGGGGAAGAGAAGACGGGGGACACUGGGGUUACAUAGAGAGAGAGGAUAAGCAAGCCAUCUAAAUGUGAAAAAAAAAACUCUCAAAGCAAGGAUGUUGCGCCACGUCAGCAAAAUUAUUGGGAAAUAAUAUAUGUUUAUAGAUUAUAGAUUAUAGAGAGGAGGAAGACGAAGUGACACAGAGAGGGGAAGAGAAGACGGGGGACACUGGGGUUA
This 552-nucleotide long non-coding RNA is filed under the name Ananas comosus (pineapple). Its description in RNAcentral is "long non-coding RNA (ACOM_LNC009433)". Lineage: Eukaryota; Viridiplantae; Streptophyta; Magnoliopsida; Poales; Bromeliaceae. The record is from RNAcentral.